GUAGGGAAUAUUGGACAAUGGGCGAAAGCCUGAUCCAGCCAUGCCGCGUGAUAGAUGAAGGCCCUCUGGGUUGUAAAUAUCUUUUAUCUGGGAAGAAACUCCUCUAUUCUUAGAGGCCUGACGGUACCAGAGGAAUAAGCACCGGCUAACUCCGUGCCAGCAGCCGCGGUAAUACGGAGGGUGCAAGCGUUAUCCGGAUUCACUGGGUUUAAAGGGUGCGUAGGCGGGUUGAUAAGUCAGUUGUGAAAGCUCCGGGCUUAACUUGGAAACUGCCAUUGAUACUGUCAAUCUUGAAUGUCGUAGAGGUAAGCGGAAUGUUGCAUGUAGCGGUGAAAUGCUUAGAUAUGUUACAGAACACCAAUUGCGAAGGCAGCUUACUAUGCGAUAAUUGACGCUGAGGCACGAAAGCGUGGGGAGCAAACAGGAUUAGAUACCCCAGUAGUCC
RNAcentral lists this ribosomal RNA (445 nucleotides) under uncultured bacterium. RNAcentral's name for it is "partial 16S ribosomal RNA". It matches the Rfam family "Bacterial small subunit ribosomal RNA", at positions 354 to 796 of the family's 1533-position model. The record is from RNAcentral.